Molecule: unclassified non-coding RNA, 200 nt
Filed under: Keissleriella sp.
Lineage: Eukaryota; Fungi; Ascomycota; Dothideomycetes; Pleosporales; Lentitheciaceae
Description: partial internal transcribed spacer 2
Source: RNAcentral
UUAAGUUCAGCGGGUAUCCCUACCUGAUCCGAGGUCAAAAUGGGGGGUUGCUUAGUGGACGCUGGUCCGCCAAAGCCGCUAAGCGCAUCAGUGCUACGCUACGGGCCGGCAAACUGCUGCCAAUACAUUUAGGGCGAGUCCGCGCACAAAGCGGGACAGACGCCCAACACCAAGCAGAGCUUGAGGGUGUAAUGACGCUC